RNAcentral lists this ribosomal RNA (319 nucleotides) under uncultured soil bacterium. RNAcentral describes it as "bacterial SSU rRNA". It matches the Rfam family "Bacterial small subunit ribosomal RNA", at positions 26 to 341 of the family's 1533-position model. The record is from RNAcentral.
AGAGUGAACGCUGGCGGUAGGCCUAACACAUGCAAGUCGAACGGCAGCACAAUGGUAGCAAUACCAUGGGUGGCGAGUGGCGGACGGGUGAGGAAUACAUCGGAAUCUACCUUUUCGUGGGGGAUAACGUAGGGAAACUUACGCUAAUACCGCAUACGCCCUUCGGGGGAAAGCCGGGGAUCGCAAGACCUGGCGCGGAUAGAUGAGCCGAUGUCGGAUUAGCUAGUUGGUGAGGUAAUGGCUCACCAAGGCGACGAUCCUUAGCUGGUCUGAGAGGAUGAUCAGCCACACUGGGACUGAGACACGGCCCAGACUCCUA